GGAACGCACGUCCACACCGACAGGCCUGUAAGUGGUAGCCACAAUUUGGUCCAGCUGGUAGCCACCUGGGACCAAUUAGGAUUAUGCUUAUAAGGUGGGGAUGGCUAGAUAGGCAAAGCACUGGACCCUAGGAGGAUUAAGAUUGGAGGAAGCGCCGCAACAGGCUCUGACUGUGACCUAUAAUGAACAAGCCAUCUAUCUCGGACAGAGGUCUACCUAAUUAGUGACGUAUCUGAGCUGCACUUAUCAAAAUAUACAUGGAUGCUCGUCCUGUUGGACACCACAAAAUCUAUGUUGGUCCAUUACCUGUGUGGCUCUAUUGCGGUAUAUACUGCAUUCACAGGUACACCAAGUAACCCCCGGACACAAAACCUACCUUGAGUCCUUGAUCAUGUGAAACAUCUGUUUACACAUCAGGGGAUGCGAUACUUGAUCUACCUCCUCCUCCUCCUGGGAUUAUCAUCUGGUCCAUU
Long non-coding RNA from Bufo gargarizans (Asiatic toad), 473 nucleotides. RefSeq lists it as uncharacterized. Lineage: Eukaryota; Metazoa; Chordata; Amphibia; Anura; Bufonidae. The record is from RefSeq and is a predicted model, not a curated record. The transcript has 4 exons.